This 599-nucleotide ribosomal RNA is filed under the name Arthrobacter sp. AL21. RNAcentral describes it as "bacterial SSU rRNA". It matches the Rfam family "Bacterial small subunit ribosomal RNA", at positions 78 to 689 of the family's 1533-position model. Lineage: Bacteria; Bacillati; Actinomycetota; Actinomycetes; Micrococcales; Micrococcaceae. The record is from RNAcentral.
GCUUGCUGGGGGGAUUAGUGGCGAACGGGUGAGUAACACGUGAGUAACCUGCCCUUGACUCUGGGAUAAGCCUGGGAAACUGGGUCUAAUACCGGAUAUGACUCCUCAUCGCAUGGUGGGGGGUGGAAAGCUUUUGUGGUUUUGGAUGGACUCGCGGCCUAUCAGCUUGUUGGUGGGGUAAUGGCCUACCAAGGCGACGACGGGUAGCCGGCCUGAGAGGGUGACCGGCCACACUGGGACUGAGACACGGCCCAGACUCCUACGGGAGGCAGCAGUGGGGAAUAUUGCACAAUGGGCGGAAGCCUGAUGCAGCGACGCCGCGUGAGGGAUGACGGCCUUCGGGUUGUAAACCUCUUUCAGUAGGGAAGAAGCCGCGAGGUGACGGUACCUGCAGAAGAAGCGCCGGCUAACUACGUGCCAGCAGCCGCGGUAAUACGUAGGGCGCAAGCGUUAUCCGGAAUUAUUGGGCGUAAAGAGCUCGUAGGCGGUUUGUCGCGUCUGCUGUGAAAGACCGGGGCUCAACUCCGGUUCUGCAGUGGGUACGGGCAGACUAGAGUGCAGUAGGGGAGACUGGAAUUCCUGGUGUAGCGGUGAAAUGC